CUGAGACAUCAAUUUUACUCCAUCUCUUCUUGCCUCAAACUUUCCAUAUCCGUCCCCAUUCUACCCUCACUUCUUCAACCUGUGAUUCCUAGGUGAUUCCUACAAGGAGACGUGAUAGCGUGCAAGACUCAACUCCCGUCUUCAAUGAACUUACGUUUCAAUGAGAAUAAUUCUUCAACUACGCAUCCCGUCUAUCUUAUUUGCUUCAGCAUCUCUCAUGAUUAGAACAUAGCCUUGAGGACUGUCAUAAAGAAGAGGGAUUUACCCUGGGCUACAUCGGCUCUAGGAGAUGGAACCGACUAAGAGUGGGAGCCGAAGCAGGUAUAUAUUGGUGCAAUUUAAGGAAGAACUUCCUACCAGGUAGAGUGUUCAAA
Molecule: long non-coding RNA, 374 nt
Filed under: Homo sapiens (human)
Lineage: Eukaryota; Metazoa; Chordata; Mammalia; Primates; Hominidae
Description: HSALNT0338226
Source: RNAcentral